UUUUAUUUGAGAGUUUGAUCCUGGCUCAGGAUGAACGCUGGCGGCGUGCCUAACACAUGCAAGUUGAGCGAUUUACUUCGGUAAAGAGCGGCGGACGGGUGAGUAACGCGUGGGUAACCUACCCUGUACACACGGAUAACAUACCGAAAGGUAUGCUAAUACGGGAUAAUAUAUUUGAGAGGCAUCUCUUGAAUAUCAAAGGUGAGCCAGUACAGGAUGGACCCGCGUCUGAUUAGCUAGUUGG
RNAcentral lists this ribosomal RNA (244 nucleotides) under Clostridioides difficile. RNAcentral describes it as "partial 16S ribosomal RNA". It matches the Rfam family "Bacterial small subunit ribosomal RNA", at positions 1 to 252 of the family's 1533-position model. The record is from RNAcentral. Lineage: Bacteria; Bacillati; Bacillota; Clostridia; Peptostreptococcales; Peptostreptococcaceae.